AAAAUCGCGCCUACCAGAUCCGGCAGCUUCAUCGAAACCGCCGCCGACAUAAGCUGUGGGCGCUGUACAUCCCUGGAUCCU
This 81-nucleotide small RNA is filed under the name Pseudomonas aeruginosa PAK. RNAcentral describes it as "potential sRNA". The record is from RNAcentral. Lineage: Bacteria; Pseudomonadati; Pseudomonadota; Gammaproteobacteria; Pseudomonadales; Pseudomonadaceae.